RNAcentral lists this long non-coding RNA (262 nucleotides) under Mytilus galloprovincialis (Mediterranean mussel). Lineage: Eukaryota; Metazoa; Mollusca; Bivalvia; Mytilida; Mytilidae. The record is from RNAcentral.
AAAAACUUUUAUAAAUCCGUCUCCCUAAAAAAAAAAAACAUCUAUUUAACAAACAAUAAUAUUACAUGCCAACAGUAUAUCCAGUUCAUGGUAGCAUAUGAUAAAUUGAAUAGAUACACACACACACACGAGAAAACAAAUUACAACAAAUAAAAUAAAUGAGAAAAAUAAAAAUGUGUAAAAAAAAGGGGGAAAAAAACGAAACAGUCAACUCUUAUUUACUUUUCUAGACAGUCACUGGAACCAACACACACGUCCGACU